UCUGAGCCUUCCUUUUUCCCUGCAG
This 25-nucleotide non-coding RNA is filed under the name Cricetulus griseus (Chinese hamster). Lineage: Eukaryota; Metazoa; Chordata; Mammalia; Rodentia; Cricetidae. The record is from RNAcentral.